This is a long non-coding RNA of Homarus americanus (American lobster), 120 nucleotides long. RefSeq lists it as uncharacterized. The transcript has 3 exons. The record is from RefSeq and is a predicted model, not a curated record. Lineage: Eukaryota; Metazoa; Arthropoda; Malacostraca; Decapoda; Nephropidae.
AACCCUCAGACACAGGUACAACAGUCAGGUCCAACCCUCAGACACAGGUACAACAGUCAGGUCCAGCCCUCAGAUACAGGUACAACAGUCAGGUCCAGCCCUCAGACACAGGUACAACAG